Long non-coding RNA from Daphnia pulex (common water flea), 1117 nucleotides. RefSeq lists it as uncharacterized. NCBI's taxonomy places the organism in Eukaryota, Metazoa, Arthropoda, Branchiopoda, Diplostraca, Daphniidae. The record is from RefSeq and is a predicted model, not a curated record. The transcript has 7 exons.
AUCAAAGACUAUUUUGUCAAAACAUUUAUUUAUUAUGCAGAGUCGAACUUCAUGAAUUGGCAUCACUGCUUCCCAUUUCUCGCGAAUAUUCGUCUGUUGUUCAAUCAAUGUCGCGAUCGAGUUGAUUACAGAGAGAUCGUUAAAUGCUUUCGAGUUUCGACAUAGUCAGAGGAAUAAAUUAUCAUCACCAUUGAUCCCUUAAGAGACCAAGAACUACCGAUCCUGGCACUUUGGAAAGGUGCAGAAAAUUCCACUCACCUGAGCCAACACCACGACAAUAGGCCUACGACAUUCAUCAAAGUGGAGGCACUGAGGCAGCAAAUAGAAAAGCGAAUUUGUGUUCAGUGUGUACAUUGGAUGGAUCACGGCCCAUAUAUUCUUAAGUCGUGUUCGUUGGCCAACGGAAUAAUGAUCCUUGUGUUCCAGAGCACGCCAACAUAUCCCAAUCCAGGUUGAUAUUGGGAGAUUGUCCAGCGUCUAAAAAUUAACCAAUUACAUUCAGCUUCUACCGCCAUUUGAUUAUUUUAAAAAUACGGCGAUCUAACAUGUUGAAAGUUAUGUUCUCAUCUCUCUCCGCACUCUGGGUUCUGUGUUUGCUAUCAGGGUGAACUCAUCAAGGUGGAAGCUUGGCACUGGUAUUAUAACAAAAUUGUGGGCAAAGAGAAAUGCGCUGUUGUGGACACUUGGUGAUGGCAAACGGAAACGGGAGGCAUUUGCAUCAGUCCAACACUCUCAGCCCCUGGAUCAGAAAUUUGUCCCGGCAUGCCGAUGAGGCUAAUGUACGGAAUCUGGUCUGCUGUUCAAGGAGAAAAGGGGGAGAAGUUGAAAGACAAUAAUGAUGUAACAGGUGCCUUAUUGUGCUUGAAAAAUCCUUGGCCUGGAAUGGCACGCACCAUUUAUCGAACCUACAGCCGACGCUUCAUGGAAACUUAUAAUCGACCUUUUUAAAUGUGGAGCAGCCAUCAGGAGCUUCAAGACACCACCGGACAUCACAGUCCUUCCUUCCAAUAGAUAAAUGUUUAAUGGAGUUCACUCAAAGUUGUAGGAAUUCGUCCUCCAAGGAAAAUGCAGCGCCAGUCAAACUCGGCGUCCAGCAGAUGAAAACCAACAGCAGAAC